CAGUGCAGAGUUGUGGAACCUAAGCCUCUGAGUUCCACAGCCAGUCUGGGAGGCUAAAAGGAAGGAGAUUACAAAAGGAUUGGGAAGGCUGGUGGGGAGGAACCACUAAAUGUGAAAAGGGAUGAGGGAGGCAAAAGGGGAGGAGUUUCCAAAAUUGCGAAGGGGGCUGAUAUUCUUGAGCUACUGACUUUUGUGUGAAUGUCCCAGACCAAGAAGGCGACAGAGAGGCAGGCUUUGCAGGAAAAAGGGAAUUGAGAGUCUGGGGGGGUGUGACAGGGUGUUGGGGGUCAUAGAGAGAGGGAGAAACUGGAUUCAGGAUUUUUUUGUGUGGGUGUGUGUGUAAUUGAAAGUUUAAGUAUCUCUGUAUAUAUCACUGGGAUUGUAUUUUGGAGAGUAAUCUCUGAGCUUCCUUAAGGAUAACUCUUCCUGGAGUGUUUUUUAAAAAGACUUGAUGGGAGAAAGGUUACAAAAUUGAGCUAAUAAAUAUGAUUUAAAGCUUGA
This is a long non-coding RNA of Phyllostomus discolor (pale spear-nosed bat), 501 nucleotides long. RefSeq lists it as uncharacterized. Lineage: Eukaryota; Metazoa; Chordata; Mammalia; Chiroptera; Phyllostomidae. The transcript is spliced from 2 exons. The record is from RefSeq and is a predicted model, not a curated record.